CAGCUUUCUUGAACUUCUCU
RNAcentral lists this microRNA (20 nucleotides) under Ananas comosus (pineapple). Its description in RNAcentral is "osa-miR396c". Lineage: Eukaryota; Viridiplantae; Streptophyta; Magnoliopsida; Poales; Bromeliaceae. The record is from RNAcentral.